GACGAACGCUGGCGGCGUGCUUAACACAUGCAAGUCGAACGGAAAGGCCCUGCUUUUGUGGGGUGCUCGAGUGGCGAACGGGUGAGUAACACGUGAGUAACCUGCCCUUGACUUUGGGAUAACUUCAGGAAACUGGGGCUAAUACCGGAUAGGAGCUCCUGCUGCAUGGUGGGGGUUGGAAAGUUUCGGCGGUUGGGGAUGGACUUGCGGCUUAUCAGCUUGUUGGUGGGGUAGUGGCUUACCAAGGCUUUGACGGGUAGCCGGCCUGAGAGGGUGACCGGCCACAUUGGGACUGAGAUACGGCCCAGACUCCUACGGGAGGCAGCAGUGGGGAAUAUUGCACAAUGGGCGGAAGCCUGAUGCAGCAACGCCGCGUGCGGGAUGACGGCCUUCGGGUUGUAAACCGCUUUCGCCUGUGACGAAGCGUGAGUGACGGUAAUGGGUAAAGAAGCACCGGCUAACUACGUGCCAGCAGCCGCGGUGAUACGUAGGGUGCGAGCGUUGUCCGGAUUUAUUGGGCGUAAAGGGCUCGUAGGUGGUUGAUCGCGUCGGAAGUGUAAUCUUGGGGCUUAACCCUGAGCGUGCUUUCGAUACGGGUUGACUUGAGGAAGGUAGGGGAGAAUGGAAUUCCUGGUGGAGCGGUGGAAUGCGCAGAUAUCAGGAGGAACACCAGUGGCGAAGGCGGUUCUCUGGGCCUUUCCUGACGCUGAGGAGCGAAAGCGUGGGGAGCGAACAGGCUUAGAUACCCUGGUAGUCCACGCUGUAAACGGUGGGUACUAGGUGUGGGGUCCAUUCCACGGGUUCCGUGCCGUAGCUAACGCUUUAAGUACCCCGCCUGGGGAGUACGGCCGCAAGGCUAAAACUCAAAGGAAUUGACGGGGCCCCGCACAAGCGGCGGAGCAUGCGGAUUAAUUCGAUGCAACGCGUAGAACCUUACCUGGGUUUGACAUGGAUCGGGAGUGCUCAGAGAUGGGUGUGCCUCUUUUGGGGUCGGUUCACAGGUGGUGCAUGGCUGUCGUCAGCUCGUGUCGUGAGAUGUUGGGUUAAGUCCCGCAACGAGCGCAACCCUUGUUCACUGUUGCCAGCACGUUAUGGUGGGGACUCAGUGGAGACCGCCGGGGUCAACUCGGAGGAAGGUGGGGAUGACGUCAAGUCAUCAUGCCCCUUAUGUCCAGGGCUUCACGCAUGCUACAAUGGCUGGUACAGAGAGUGGCGAGCCUGUGAGGGUGAGCGAAUCUCGGAAAGCCGGUCUCAGUUCGGAUUGGGGUCUGCAACUCGACCUCAUGAAGUCGGAGUCGCUAGUAAUCGCAGAUCAGCAACGCUGCGGUGAAUACGUUCCCGGGGCU
Molecule: ribosomal RNA, 1346 nt
Filed under: uncultured bacterium
Lineage: Bacteria
Description: partial 16S ribosomal RNA
Rfam family: Bacterial small subunit ribosomal RNA
Source: RNAcentral